Molecule: long non-coding RNA, 1734 nt
Organism: Esox lucius (northern pike)
Lineage: Eukaryota; Metazoa; Chordata; Actinopteri; Esociformes; Esocidae
Source: Ensembl
GGACAAGGUUUCCAAUUCGUUUGGCUGUGCUGCAGUCCUGCUGUUGGAAAUGCCUCAAAGCAGACAAAGGACUGCCAAUUAAUUGAGAUUGGGAAUUUCUUUUAUGACGGGUGACCUGUUUUUUAUUAUUUACUAUUGAAUAAAUUAUUGAACUAAAACUGUAUGUAUAUUGCCAGUGAACUGAGAAGGCCUGACCCCCCAUUGUAAAGCAUACCAGAGCAGUGCAGCUUCGUCUCAGUAGUCAUAAUAAAGAGGGGUGGUACCCGAAAAUGUAUGUUGGAAAAUGUAUGUUGGCCACUUAAUCCAUUCAUAUUGAAAUGAGGUCCCUUGUGUGCCCCUCCCCUUUUCCAGUGGGCAGCUCGGAAUCUUCCGGCGAGAGUGUGAGUGGCUUCAGCAGCUCCGGAUACAGCUGCCACUCUGCCCCUGGCGGAGACGGGGAUGACGCCUCUUCCAUGUGCCCCUCGGUCGUCAGCAUGAAAGACUCCCCGGCCGGCCAACACGAACGUGACUUACGCAAGACCAAGGGUCCCACUCGGUCUUCUGAGAAACCCAGCGCUCCCGCGAUUCCACCUAAACCGCCGGCUCUGACCAAGGAACCUCCCAUGGUUAAAAAAGCUGUCAUUGGAAAGUCAACAGAGGUUUGAGCUCGGUUUGGACCUUUCCAUUACAGAAGGACAGAGUGGACUUGUGUUGCUGUUUAAAGGGGAUGGUUAUGCAUAUGUGUUAAUGUAAUCUGCUUUUACUAUUGUUUUUACUGACCACUAAACUGACAAGAAGAUGUUUACUGUGUUUCACAUACUGUAGUUAGGCCUGUAUCUGUAUGUUGUAUUCUAUUGCCAUUUAAACAUGUCUGAUUUGUUUUGUGUAAGAUAAGUGCAUUCAACAUGAUUCCCUUAUUUCCAUUAUUCACUUUCUCUGGUGGGGGUCUUCAACAAAGACUAGCAAUUUAACGUGAACACGAACCGAAUUUUUAUACUGCACUGCACCGUCACCAUUUAUAAGGCACCAUUUUUAUUUUUCUGGAAUUUAAAUAAAGUUAUGAUAAAUGCGGUGAUGCAAAUCCCGUUCUCCUGGACCGAUGCAUCUGGUGGGAAUGUCACACCAGACCAGUUUUCCCGCCUGGCCAGUAACACAUAGUGUCAUUAAACUGACCUGGUACAAUGUUCUUAAAGACAGUGGUGAAUCAAUCAUGGAAUCAACGUCCCCCGUCUGUUUUGUUCAGAUGUGUUUUCAUGCUCUCUCUUUCGCUGGGUAGAGGACAGAUGCAGUUCUGGCGUCAAAUGACAGUUCCACUUGCCCAGCUCCUGCUACACAGAAACAUACUGUCGUUAUGGUACAUCAGGUGGAGUGUCAAUAUUACAGUUGACAGACCUGCUGACGAGUUCAUCGGUCUACAGGUUAGGAACAUUGAUUGUAUGUGUUUUACCAGAAGAACAUGUUUUACCAGAAGGCCGCUGCUCUGUGUCAUCUAUUCAGUCAUGGGGUCGUGCUGAAAUCGGUCCAAUGUUGUUUUUUUUCAUGUUGAAGAAAACUCAUUGACAAAAUUAAAUGAAUGUUAACUGGCGUUUGCUCGUAAUCUUUAAUUGUUCAUUGCUGUUAUUAUUUCUUUUGAGCAUGGCGUUGUGGUGUUGAGGUAUGACAGUACCAAGUUCAUAAUUCUAAUAAUCAGUUAUCACUACAAGCUACAUGUCACUCCAAAACCUCGACACAGAGUUCUUCAUGCUUCACCUGUGG